AUUUUGGAUCUCCUCGAUCACUUUAUUUUAAAGAAAAAUAUCAGAUAAUUGUUCCGUGGUAAACUGAAACUUUUGUUCUGUAGUGUUUCUUAAUUGGAAAGAACACGUCUUAAAGCAUCAAUUGACAACUUUAAAGCAGCUUAGUAAUAAUUAAAGUGCAAUGCCAAUGAAAAAGGUAGCAUUCAUGAAGGCGUUAAACUGGAGAAGUUUGUUAAGUGACAAUCAAAAUAACUGAAAAACUGGAGAAUAACCAACAAAACUUCUGCUGUCAAGGACCUUAGAGUAAUAAUUAAAGUGCAAUGCCAAUGAAAAAGGUAGCAUUCGUGAAGAUGUAAAACUGGCACUCUCAAAAGGAAAGAUCUUUAUUGGAUUAUCGGUUUUCUUCUGGCGAUGUUUGUUAAGUGACAAUCAAAAUAACUGAAAAAACUGGAGAAUAGGCAACAAAACUUUUGCUGUCAAGGACCUUAGAGUAAUAAUUAAAGUGCAAUGCCAAUGAAAAAGGUAGCGUUCAUGAAGACGUAAAACUGGCACUCUCGAAAGGAAACAUCUUUAUUGGAUUAUCUGUUUUCUUCUGGCCAAGUUUGUUAAGUGAAAAUCAAAAUAACUGAAAAAACUGGAGAAUAGCCAACAAAACUUUUGCUGGCAAGGACCUUAGAGUAUUGUAGAAUCUUUGGCUAAAACCUUCAGGCGCUGAAAAUUUGUGGCCCACCCUGUAAUUGUGCCAUGCAUAUAUUCCUACCUUGAAGCACUUGGAUUGUUUUAAAAUGGCGAACUAAAUUCUAGAUGAAUAGCAUCCCACUGUGACUGUUUUAGGACCUAGUUUCUUUCGUUCUAUUCAAUGUUAUGGUAGUUUCUUUUCUAUCUCACUUUGAGUAGUGUCCCAUGCCCACGACCUUAGGUCUCCCGCAUCUUAUCGAACCCAGAAGCAUAGUUCCAAACCUUCCAGUCAUCGAAUAUUAGCUUGUCCUAAACUACCGAUCUAUUUAUCACAUGCAAUCAUAAAAAUGAAACUUGUGCUUUUUCAUCUUUUAUUUUUAAUUUACAAUAAGACGAUUGGAAUCUUCAUCUUAUUUUCUAAGUUACAGUUUUCUGGGAAAUCAAGCUGUAAGAAGCUAUACCUUUUAAAGAAGGAUGCCACUGUGAACUUGGGCAUAAACUAUUUUUCCUCUGUAGAGCAGUGUAAAAAAUCUCUUCUGCCGUCCAUGGUUCAAGGAAAAGUACGGGGAGGUCAAUAUAAGCCGUGGAGCUGAGCCAUAUCCAUAAUCACAUGUUGUGGAGUAGAAACUCUUUUUCACUAUGCAGAAUACAUCUGAGUGAAAAUACCCACGAAACAAACUGAGUGCGCUUCAUCUUUAAUUGUCAUGGGAGUGAUAUAACAAUGUGCAAAUAAGAAAGAAAAAUAACAAUGCACUUUUGUUCUGUUGAUUCCAAGGCAGGUUGCUGCAGACAUCAAAGCUCUUUUCCCGAUUUAAAUUCAUUGAGUUAUUACAGUUUACUAGGUGUUCGUGAUUCUAGAACAUAUCUUGUUAUAUAUUUUCUUCGACCAACAAAAUAAUGUAAUUUAUGAAUA
This 1570-nucleotide long non-coding RNA is filed under the name Spirodela polyrhiza (greater duckweed). RNAcentral describes it as "long non-coding RNA (SPOL_LNC001548)". The record is from RNAcentral. Lineage: Eukaryota; Viridiplantae; Streptophyta; Magnoliopsida; Alismatales; Araceae.